UGGGGAAUAUUGCACAAUGGAGGGAACUCUGAUGCAGCGACGCCGCGUGAACGAAGAAGGCUUUCGAGUCGUAAAGUUCUUUUAUAUGGGAAGAUAAUGACGGUACCAUAAGAAAAAGCCCCGGCUAACUACGUGCCAGCAGCCGCGGUAAUACGUAGGGGGCUAGCGUUGUCCGGAAUCACUGGGCGUAAAGGGUUCGCAGGCGGAAAUGCAAGUCAGGUGUAAAAGGCAGUAGCUUAACUACUGUAAGCAUUUGAAACUGCAUAUCUUGAGAAGAGUAGAGGUAAGUGGAAUUUUUAGUGUAGCGGUGAAAUGCGUAGAUAUUAAAAAGAAUACCGGUGGCGAAGGCAACUUACUGGGCUCAUUCUGACGCUGAGGAACGAAAGCGUGGGUAGCAAACAGG
This 403-nucleotide ribosomal RNA is filed under the name Fusobacteriota bacterium. Its description in RNAcentral is "Fusobacteria bacterium partial 16S ribosomal RNA". It matches the Rfam family "Bacterial small subunit ribosomal RNA", at positions 355 to 776 of the family's 1533-position model. Lineage: Bacteria; Fusobacteriati; Fusobacteriota. The record is from RNAcentral.